CAGUCGCCGCGGGAAUACGAAGGGGGCUAGCGUUGUUCGGAUUUACUGGGCGUAAAGCGCACGUAGGCGUAUCGAUCAGUCAGGGGUGAAAUCCCAGAGCUCAACUCUGGAACUGCCUUUGAUACUGUCGAUCUGGAGUAUGGAAGAGGUGAGUGGAAUUCCGAGUGUAGAGGUGGAAUUCGUAGAUAUUAGCUAGAACACCAGUGGCGAAGGCGGCCAACUGGUCCGACACUGACGCUGAGGUGCGAAAGCGUGGGGAGCAAACAGGAUUAGAUACCCCAGUAGUCCCUGUCUCUUAUAC
RNAcentral lists this ribosomal RNA (301 nucleotides) under uncultured bacterium. RNAcentral's name for it is "partial 16S ribosomal RNA". It matches the Rfam family "Bacterial small subunit ribosomal RNA", at positions 509 to 807 of the family's 1533-position model. The record is from RNAcentral.